GUUUAGGUAGCUCAGUUGGUUAGAGCAAAGGACUGAAAAUCCUUGUGUCGGCAGUUCGAGUCUGCCUCUAAACA
Molecule: transfer RNA, 74 nt
Filed under: Cymbomonas tetramitiformis
Lineage: Eukaryota; Viridiplantae; Chlorophyta; Pyramimonadophyceae; Pyramimonadales; Pyramimonadaceae
Description: tRNA-Phe
Rfam family: tRNA
About the family: Transfer RNA (tRNA) molecules are approximately 80 nucleotides in length.
Source: RNAcentral